GAACCUCGUGCUGCCGGCACCACCUACGCCGCCGCCGCUCCUCGUCCUCAUCGCCGCCGACUAUGCCCAGCGGCCAGCGCCGCUCUUCGCUAUCGAGGUCGCCGCAGCUCGACAGAGCAAGUGGAAUCGGCAGGGCGGGGCAGGCUCCUCGCGCUCGGGAUCUUCUCCCAGCUCAUCCCACGCUCCCAGUGCAAGGAGCAGCCGGCCGACGCGGCCCCGUGGCAUUGGCCACUGUCGUCUCCUAAAAUUGGUACGCUCCCUUGGCACAUGGCCAUCUCAAUGGAAUGUAUUGCUUGAUUUAUUGACAAAAUGGUUUGGUAUGAAAUAUUCUGAAGGUAGGUACUGAUCCGCACUCGCUCACAAUGUUACAGAAGAUUAUAAAUCUAAAAUACGGCAAGCUAACUGGUUUUCUAUAUGCAGAACAGUUGCAUAUGCAGUGUUAUUAGCUAGAGUGUACUUUUCAGAUCAGCAAAUGGAGUUUUAAAGUUCUCUGUUCAACACUUUUCGAUAGUGUCACAUGAAAAGACAUGCAACGGAAGAGUGGGGUUCCUACUGCCCUGAUGCCGUCACGGCGUUAUGCCAGAUCUUUGAGUUAUGAGUGUCACUUCAUAGUAAUCAUGCUAAUACUUUGUAAAAAGAUGCCAUAAUAUGUUGCAGCUUAAAUCAUAUUCCGUAUAUCAGUCAGCGGUCUACUGGAACCACCUAUUAAACCACUGGCAAUUUAUACCCAAUUGUUACUGGACUCGUUGAUAACCACAACAGUUUUCUUAUACAAGCUUAUCUUUAGUACUGUAACUUAUGUACAAAUAUAAAAAGUAUACAACAGUCGCGGUCUACAAUAUAUUGUACACGUGAAAUGCAUCUAUGUGAUAUAGUAUCAUCGAAAGGAAACUAAUAUAAUGUGAAUCUUCAAUAAAAUACAUGAUACCUCAGAUGCAUUAUAUUCAACAUCCAAGCAAGCCAUCGGUUAUCUUGCACAAAUGUAAUUAGCGUGGCAAAGAUGCAAAUUCUUGCUCCAAACUGUAGCACCCAGAGCUCCCAGCAUUGACAAGAUCGAUAUGCCCAUAUAAGUUCUUAUCUUGUGGGCAUAACAAAGGCUCAAUAUCUGCAUCUUUUUCAGCUAAACCUUUUCUAAGUCUCUUUGUUCUUAGAAAUUGAAACCUCAUCUCGACUUCUUUCAUAGUCGGUCUGUCUCCUCCUUUGACCCUUAAGCAUGCUUCUGUAAGUAAGGCGAUUUCAUUAAUCUCUUCCUGGUCUGCCUCUUCCACAACUUGUUUAUCCAGUAUUUCUACAAGGGACCCUGCAUGAAGUCCUUCAAUGAAGUAAUGUGAUAGGCUUUGUUUAGCACCUAAAUCAUCGAUAAAAAUUGGCUUCUUCCUUAUCAAAAGUUCAACAAGUAUUACUCCAAAACUAUAUACAUCACUCUUUUCAGUAAGCUGACCAGUAUGAUAGUACUCUGGGUCCAAGUAGCCGAAUGUACCUUGGACAAUCGUAACCACAUGAGUCUCAUCAAGCGAAAGAGAUCUUGAAGCACCAAAGUCUGAGACCUUUGUGGUGAAGUUGUCAUCCAAGAGUAUAUUUGAAGACUUAACAUCUCUGUGGAAAAUUGGUAUUGUAGCAGCUGAGUGUAGAUAAGCAAGUGCCCCUGCUGCUUCCAUUGCAAUCCUAAUGCGAUCAUCCCAUGAAAGCAAGCAUUUUACUGUAGUAUCAGAGUGAAGAAGUUCAUACAGAGUGCCAUUAGAAAUGAACUCAUAGACAAGCAUGGGCACCUCAUCUUCUAGGCAGCAACCAAACAGUUUCACCACAUUGCGAUGGAUGAUUUGAGACAAAAUAACAACCUCAUUGAUAAACUGGUCUACCUCUAUUUGUUCCACUAUUUUGGAUUUUUUUAUGGCCACCACACGUUGGUCAGAUAGAAUCCCUUUAUAAACCGUGCCAUGUCCUCCACGACCAAGAACACGAGUAGCCUCAAAGUUGUUUGUUGCCUCCUCUAGUUCCUCCAAUGAGAAUAUUUUAGUUUUGCUUGUGGUGCUUUCAUCAGAGAUCAAUUGCUCCAAUAGCAGGCCUUGAUUUUUCUUGAAAUGUGCUCUUCUAAUUCUCUUCUGAAUGCCCCUUUUCCACUUACUGGCAAGUACAGUUACACCCAAUGCGACAAUUAUGGAGCCAAGGCCACAACUGAUUCCAAUUGCAAUACCUAUAUGCAUUCGCCAUUGUUAUGAAUCAUAUUAAUGUUUACAAAUUAUAAUUGCAGGGCGGUUUAUUUUGCUUGAGACUUACCCAAAAGGAGAUUACGUUGCUUAGUUGAGCAUUCAUAGCUUCCAGGCGUGUUUCGGCAUAUACCAUUGCAGUAGUUUGGCAGUGAGCAUUCAUCAAUAUCUGUAGAUAACACAUUCAAUAUAUAUAUUG
This 2406-nucleotide long non-coding RNA is filed under the name Setaria italica (foxtail millet). RNAcentral describes it as "long non-coding RNA (SITA_LNC000581)". The record is from RNAcentral. Lineage: Eukaryota; Viridiplantae; Streptophyta; Magnoliopsida; Poales; Poaceae.